This is a long non-coding RNA of Balaenoptera musculus (blue whale), 315 nucleotides long. RefSeq lists it as uncharacterized. The record is from RefSeq and is a predicted model, not a curated record. The transcript is spliced from 3 exons. NCBI's taxonomy places the organism in Eukaryota, Metazoa, Chordata, Mammalia, Artiodactyla, Balaenopteridae.
CUGCGCGCGGACCUUCUCUAGUUGCGCUUCACGGGGUCAUACCUCUGUGAAGAACAAGGCCCGUGAGCCCACAGGCAGAUUCGGGUACAAAACUGAAUGCCCUUACUUUGGCCAUGGGAGUGAGCCAUGGUGGACAUCCAGCCCAGAUGACCCACCAGUGGCUGCAGCCCCAGUCACUACCUGACUGCAACUCUAUGAGAGACCCCAAAUGAGAGCCACCCAGCUGAGCCCAAUCAAACCACAGAAAAUUGAGAGAUAAUAAAUAUUUGUAUUAAGGUGCUGAGUUUGGAGAUAUCUUGAUACACAUCUAUAGGU